GAUGAACGCUGGCGGCGUGCCUAAUACAUGCAAGUCGAGCGAACAGACGAGGAUCUUGCUCCUCUGACGUGAGCGGCGGGCGGGUGAGGAACACGUGUAUAACCUACCUAUAAGACUGGUAUAACUUCGGGAAACCGGAGCUAAUACCGGAUAAUAUAUUGAACCGCAUGGGUCAAUGGUGAAAGACGGCUGUGCUGUCACUUAUAGAUGGAUCCGCGCCGCAUGAGAUAGUUGGUAAGGUAACGGCUUACCAAGGCAACGAGGCGUAGCCGAACUGAGAGAGUGAUCGGCCACACUGGAACGGAGACACGGUCCAGACUCCUACGGGAGGCAGCAGUAGGGAAUCUUACGCAGUGGGCGAAAGCAUGACGGAGCGACGCCGCGUGAGUGAUGAAGGUCUUCGGAUCGUAAAACUCUGUUAUUAGGGAAAAACAAAUGUGUAAGUAAAUAUGCCCGUCUUGACGGUAACUAAUCAGAAAGCCACGGCUAACUACGUG
This 497-nucleotide ribosomal RNA is filed under the name uncultured bacterium. RNAcentral describes it as "partial 16S ribosomal RNA". It matches the Rfam family "Bacterial small subunit ribosomal RNA", at positions 28 to 507 of the family's 1533-position model. The record is from RNAcentral.